Molecule: long non-coding RNA, 1327 nt
Organism: Lonchura striata (white-rumped munia)
Lineage: Eukaryota; Metazoa; Chordata; Aves; Passeriformes; Estrildidae
Source: RefSeq, a predicted model, not a curated record
CAUGAGUGUUGCUAAGCAAUGGAGAAAAGAUGAGGGAAAGGGAGGGUGCCUGACUUUAGGAUUAGGAGGAUGGAUAGAAGAUAAAGUAAGGCUUCUGCAUAGCUUUAUUUAGAAAAACUUUCAAGUUCUUUGUUUUUACUGCCUGUCCUCCAAACUACUUGUACUCUGAUUAAUCAGGUCUCAUUCAUUAUCUAUCCCAAUGCACACCCAGCACAAAGAGAGGUGCUGCAUCCUGGAGCACUGGCACAAGCAUUUGAGCACCAGACCUGCCAACAUCUGUCUCUGGAUUUAACAGCAAGGAAUGAGAGAAGAAGAAAUCUUCCCUAUCAGCAGCAGCAGGGGUUGCUGCAGCAAGAUGAUAAUUCCCUCCUGCUACUCUGCUGACAAGCACCAAGCUGCACAGGAAGAAUGGAGCAUUUUAAUCACGGGAUUGAAAAAUGCAGAAGUUCCUAAAGCUUCACCUUACCUUGGCUGAUUUACAUUAAUUUAGGAUCUACCAGCUUUCAGUGGAAUAAUGUUAUCUAUGGAAGAUAACAGAGGAGGAAAAAUUUGGUGGAACUUCUAGUUUCCCUGUGCAUAAUGUGCCAGGAUCUAUGUAUAUAAACAGUUUUGGAGCAUCUUAGAUAAGCAAAGACUAUCGGAAUCCUUAAAAGAACAGUGCAAACUUGAGAGCUCCUUAAUACAAAAUGUUUUCUAAGUGCCACACUUUCAAAUACACACCACUGAAAGAAUAAAAAAUACAUUAGCAACUGGCAAGUCCAAUCCAGUGUCCAUUGGAACCAUCAAAAACCCUGUGAGAGAGGCCUCAAGGUUUUGGCUCUGGCUCUUUCAUCUUUCAGAUUAUCAUUUAUAGCAAAGGCACUCCAUAAGGAGCUGCUAAGACAAAUGCAAAUGUUGUGUCAAAGACAGUCAGACACCCCCCCAAAAUUAAAAAUUUGAGCACACAGCAGCUUACAGGCAGCAGCUUUGGGCAUGUGGCUCAACAUCUGCUACAACAGCACUAGAAAGCAGACCUGCGGCACGCUGGAGCGGUGCCAGCUCUCAGCUUAUCCCCGGCCAGGCUGUCAGGAGAACGGACAGAUGGCAGCCGAUGCACUCACAGGACAGUUAGCUCAGUUAACAAUCAAGGAUGCUAAAUGGUUUCAGAUUCACUCUGCACCAAGCAUUGUACUUUCCAGUGAACCAUUAACACUGUGUCCUAAUAGAAAUAUGGUUUGGUAUGAAGGAACUGGCAGAUCCUGUAUUUUACAAGACAGUUUCUCUGGAACAAUUUGUCAGGGAACAUUAGAUCUGCCUUCAUGAAUAAAGUGAGAAUCUGCCAAGUUUG